Molecule: long non-coding RNA, 7677 nt
Organism: Varroa destructor (honeybee mite)
Lineage: Eukaryota; Metazoa; Arthropoda; Arachnida; Mesostigmata; Varroidae
Source: RefSeq, a predicted model, not a curated record
CGUUCAAACGAGCGAACGACCAUGCGACGCAGUGCCAGGCGGUUAUGGGCGGUCAGCAUACACAAAUAUUACAACGAAUGAACGAACGGCCGACUACGACGACCCUUCUUCGCGAUGGCCACCGCUAAAAAUACCACGGUUGGCGUGAAUAGGUCGUGCAGUUUUUACGUGCAUCGCCUUAUGACAUCUAUUACCGUAGAGUAAGAAGCGCCGCUUCAGUAUCGCUAGCCAAUAUCUCGGAGUACCGUUAGCAGCGAAAUACGCUGUACCCAGAUAGAGCGACAACAGUAGCUGUUUGCGCCCGCAUGGAACGGCACUUGACGUUGUCUAUGCGCGACACGUGGACACUCGUGACUAUGGUGACGGAUGUCGCAGUAGACAGUGUCUAUAGGCGCUUCAGGUUCGGAAGUUGUGAAGCACUUCAAGCCUUCAAUGGCCUGCCCAGAAAAUAUACUAGAUGCUUUUUUGUGGAGUGACGCAUCACGGCCAACUAUUAGUCACUUCUAGUAACCAUCUGACCUUAUUUUAUUAUUUGUCGUAACUAGACACAGAUCCGAGGAAGACUAUUGCGUCAAAGCAGGCUUUUCCUAGGCAUUCGAGAGGACUGAUCGGACGCGUUGGGUUGCGUAGGGUUAACGCGUAAUAGACGGCGGUAUUAUGUAGAUAUUAGACAAGGAGAUGCGGGUGUCACGAAUGAUUAUUACUACUUUCCACGGCCGGAACAGGCUCAACGGUCGAGAUGGUGAGGAUGCACUUAGUAUAUUAGUUGGAAAAAUAAAUGUUUCGACCUUGACGUCCGGUAAUUGAGACGUGAAGUAUUGCGUCAGACGGCUGGCUCCGAACACGAAGUGAAAUAUGUCUGUGCCCGGUUUCGAACUUAAGCCAUCUCUUGUUUCGAAGUUCAGCAACGAACACGUCGCGUGUGCAGUAUUAUAAGGACAUAAUUACGAUAGUUUAAAGCUUAAUACGUCAAACAAGAGGCAGAAAAGGAAAUCGUCGACGAACAUAAAUAUUGACUUAUUACCAGCGAACACGGAAAACAAGUUCCCCGUACACUGGAGUUUAUAGAACAAAUCUAUUCAUGUUAUAUUAUAAUGGCAAACAUCGACUUUUCCUCGCACAGUUUUACUUUGUACGGUAAGGUGUACGGUAGAUAAGGGACGUGAUGUGAAACCAGAGACCGGUGCUCUAGAGGCAAAUUGCCCUUGGAAUAGGACCCGAGUGCACGUCGUGACCUUCGAUAUUAAAGAUAAGUUUUUUUUUCGCAUUCAUGUCAUAGCGUAUUUUGUUGGUAUGAAAAGCGUUCCUUGUCCAAGGCAUCGUUCCGAAUAGCAGAAACGAGAAUGCCAUUUGCUUUACACACACGGGAAAAGCCUGUCUAAUUUUAAAAGCCUACAAUGGAACCUAUAUCAUAGCCUCGUUAGAUCGGUCCACUUUGCCACAUAGUUAUCCAUGCAUAGGGUCGCAGCCCGACUAUCGAUAGUUUCUCUACAGCGUAUUCCAGAAAAUCGCAUUUGUUUUAACAAGCAGCAAUGUGCUGUCUCAGUAUUCAAUUAAAUAACAAGAAAUUUAUCAAGGUUCCGUUACUACGUUCUAGAGACUUUUGUACCGUCAUUACUCACUGAUAUGACAUUACUAAGGAGGUGUAAUUUCCGGUCAGAUAGGUUUCAAUGUAGUAGGACACGACGAGGGUACUUAUCGAAUAUUGUCAUUUUGAAUCAUAUUAUAUUUGAAAUUGUGCCAUACUUAACGGGAUUUUUCGCAUUUGUCUCCCCGGUAUCUUCAUCUUGAAAGAGACUUUCGUAUCGAUGUGCAUAUGUAGAGUCGCUUUAAAGACCUUGCAGGUCCUCCAAACUCUACAGCACAGCGAAAUCAAUGAUGUACAAUGUGUCCAGAUUUCGGCUAUUAAAUCUAUAAUAAUCUCUCCUCCUAAGUAACGCAAAAAAAAACGUACAUUUAUAAGUCGAUGUUCAAAUUGUAACAGGACAGUCAUGGCUCGAUAAUGUAAUAGUGGGACAAAAUUUGCAUCAAAUACUUUUGCAUGGGAUGUUCAGGUGCCUUUUUUGAGACUCUUUUCUCAGGGAGCUCAAAGCCUAUCAGAGCACCAUUAGGUUUUUUAAAAAUAAGUUCUUAGCGAGGUUUGCUUUCAUAAGUAGUCAUUUCAUUCGGUUAAUCCUUGACUUUUGAACUAAGUAGUAGAUACGUUUUUCUAUAAUUUAUCAAGAAUACCGGCGGGUUGACAAAUCAAUAUUUAACUGGUAACACGUCAAAGAAAUCGUUCGAAGUAAGUAGGUGUCGGCUAUGGCAUACAGUUAGAAUAGUCAUACGCCUCUUUCAAGGUUCCUUCCAAGUUGAAUAACGUUAUACGAAUCAAUUUAGUUGAAAAUGCCCAAAAGCUGUAGUAAAGCCUUGAGUGUCAUUGUAAUAAUUCAUCAAGUUCCAGUCACGUAUGUUUUUAUCAGGUACCUGAACCAACCAACAAUUAUAGGACCAACAAUGGCGCAGACGUAAUACUGUUUCUCGUGGAGUAAUGCCUCAAGCAUCUAACAUGAGUUCUCUUUUAAACAUUAACUUAACUUUUAAAGGGGAAUGGAGAUGAUCUUUGGUGCUAGCAUACAUUAGCACCAAGGCGGUAACGUCACGAGGAACUGAAUUAGCGGGAACUAAGAAAUAUUAGCGCCGAGACGAAUAACUUCGAUGCUCGAAUACAAAUCUGCUUCUAAGAGGUGUGAUUUAUUCAUUAACUUAUAGGAGGUAUGAUAUGUGCUAGUUCACUCGAGAAAAACAACAGAUUGAGUAAAAGAUCAGUUGGUAAAUUACAAGUCAUUAGGGCAUUUAGGCCACAGAUAUACAAUAUCUCUAUGUAAUACGAUAAGGCCGAUUCAAGUAGCUUAAGUGCAGAGGCUCUCCAAGCUGCAUAUUUCCUUUACGUACCUUUUAUGGUUGAUUACUUGCGUCAUUUAGUAGAGCUAGAGCACUAAGACUGGAAUAAACAUAAGAAAGAUAUGUACGAAGGAAAGCGUAUGCUGAAAUCCAGUACGCAAGAAAUAUGGCUACGUCACAACAAUGGAAAAAGUUGAGCGUAGCCUUCGGCUGGCUGAAGCGGCUUGGGAAUUUUGUUCAGCAACCAGUUCAAUAAAUCUAUAGCUUUAGACGAGCGAUUUGUGACCCUCUAAUUCACUAUCCAAGUACUUGCUCAUUUCUCAUUUACUAUUCACGAGAUCACUAUGGCUCGUUAAUGGGCGAAACGAAAAUUUCAUUAUAUCGUGCACACGCGCAACAAGUCAACAAUCGAACGGACUCAUUUUCACGAUGCCCCAAAGGAAGAACAUAACGUAAUAACGUUCGUACAUCGUCCUUACAGAGAGAUGUCACAUUAGUCUAAUAUUACUCAUUAUGAUUACUUCAGAUUCAGGGAAAGACAUCAAACACUCAACUGACAGCUGUCGAAAAUCACAGUCUAGCUCGCUAACAUUAGCAAACUCACACUGUAUUUGAUAUAAUAUUCUAAGACCGUCUAAUUAUAAGUUUGUGAUACGUUGGAAUUUUUUUUUGGCCAAUACAACAUACUUGAGAACCAUACGUUGUCCUUCGAAUUGAAUGAACGUCCAAUGGAAGUCAACUUUGUUUGCCAUUUCUUGUUGGUAAAACGUUCCUUGGCCUCACUCACAGUGACUCAUAGCAGAACUUCACUCCCGUUUAGGAGCCGAGAUCGAAACUAGGCUUAUCAGCUUUAAAAUUGAUGUCAGUGCUUCUCAGCAAAUAGACCGCCAAAAGCUAGCGUUAAUUUUACUUCAGUUAUAGACAUGAGAUUGAUGCGUGAGGCUGCAAACUCCGUUAGAAGUGUUACAUGCAGCCGCGAUAAUCCCCUCUGCAAGGAACGCCCAUACGCUUUACGGCCCGUUAGCUCUGAACACAACACACGGACGAGUUACGGUUCGUUUGUAUAGAAGCACUUCAUCUAAUAGGAGCACACGAGUUGGGACUCAUGUGGCCCAUAUGGGUAUUAAUGUAGCUCUACUUAUACCAGAAGGAGUGCCCGAAUACAAUUCGCUUUUCCAAGGUACACAUAAACCUAUAUCAAUAAUGACGAUCAUGAUGUUACUUAUAUUAAAAGGACUAAUAUAACGAGGCUUAAGUUCACAUCGCAGAGGUACCUCAAUGGUUGAGGAAACUAACGCAUCAGCAGUCUCCUAUAUCUCGCAAGAUCGGAAACCCUACCAGUAUGUAUCAGUCGAGCUUUGCGAACAGAAAGAAGUCGCUAGACUUUGAACGCAUAACAAUGCAAGCGAUUACACGAAAAAUGUAAGAAAAGGUUGACCAUUUGAACUUACUAUUGGUUUUCGUUCCGAUGCAUCGGAUCGUGAAUUCAUUAAGUUUACUUCAUCAAGAUUUUCAUCAUUUUUUCAUUACAGCUCUUCAUGAACAGGAAGAUAUUAAUGGUUGUCAGUCUGGCUGGCUGCUAUUGAAUUGCACGUCGUGCAGAUAAAAUUGCUCCGGUCUGAAUCAGUAACCGAGAUGAUUUGCUCUUGAUACUGUGUGUGUGUGGCACCAUGCUGAGCUCAUACUGAUCCGGGGGCGCUGUUUUCCUACUAUGACCUUUAAAAAGGCUCGAGCGAUUGCUGUGAUAUUUGUGGAAAGGACAAAAGUUUUAACUGGUAGCCCUUGAAUUUUAAAAAUAAUCCCACACUAAGACUAUCUACUGUUAUUUGCUCCAAUUGCAGUUGCUCUAACACUAAGUGUACUAGCCUGUUUUUGUUUAAUGUGACGUCAUGUAAACCAUUACUUAUUGUACAUAUUCUAACUACAAUACUAGAAUUGUUUGAAGAGCCACAAAAGUUGUCUGUGGGAGUUUAUCGGAUUGUAGGAUUCAGCUAACAAAUUCACAGGCUCAAAUAAACAUACGAGCCUAUUUAAAAACACCGGUUGCUACAUAAUCUCGAGCAGUCCGCGGUAAAUUGAUUGAUCUAUGCGAGCAAUUACUCCAAAAACAAUGUCUUAUGACAUUAAAUUGAUCAUAUCAAAUUUAGUAACCGGGUAUCGGGCAACUUACCUUAUCCAAUGAUAAGAUCCUUUUCACAAAUUCUCGAAAUAAACUUGAACUUUCGUAGCAUAUGUGCAACAACGAUUUUUGAUCAGUGUUCCCUUCUGAUAGUUUUAAACUUCACAUCUCUAACUAUUCCUGGAACUUAACUUAUCGGAUGCACCCGAAAUGCUUCACUGUAAGAUCUACGAUAGAGCGACGUACACUAACCUCUAAUAUCCUAUAGCAGCCCAAACCAUACAAAUGACAAUGUCAGACUUUUCUUUCUAUAUAAUAAGCGUACAAUAUUUCAAUGGGACCAAUUGUCCUUCCGCCAAUCACUUGUCAGUUUUUUUCAGGCUAUUCAGGUUCUCGGUAGUCGAUUCGAUCGGACCGAUGUCAUCUGCUUUCGGAUUUUUCGAUCUCAGCGGCUCACUCCGAUUUCCCGCGUCUCUGUCGUCUGCCUCGCCAUCCCGCUGCUAAGUCAGCGUGUUUUGUAUGCCAUAAGAGGCUAAUAUGAAGAUGAUACAUGCAUAAUACAUCUGAAGUCACGACGCUGUUGCAUGAAUGCCAUCGAUCUAUUACUAUGGCGUCUGUGUGUCGUUAGACAUCGCCCUAUUCCUGAAGAGGCUACCUAACCCAAUCUAAUUUUUUUAAGCGGUCCAAAUUUGACUGCUGCUGUUAUUGUCGUGGCAACUCUGAGACAUGGGUGCCCGCACAAUCCGAUAUGUAACCAGAAAUUAAUUCUCUUUGUUGUUGAUCACUGCGGAUCUCCUGGCUAAAUAUACGUAUCCUAACCAGAUCCACGUCGUAACCCUUCGCCGUUAGAGGAGCUGGGACCAGCAGUACAGCAAACGCGAUCGCGUUCUGUGGCGCGGAUCUAUUCGCGACACAAUAGCCUUCCGCUUCGAUGGGACCCCCAGAUAGAUGUGCUACGAGAUGCAACAAGAAUCAUCUCAACAAUGUUACAUCAAAAACUGCAUUGAGAAGAUAUAGGGAGACGAGCUUAGACCUGCCUGUCACUCGGCUAAAUGCUCACUCAUUGGCCAAUACCGAAUAUUCCUCGGUGUUCAAGGGCAGCGAUGGCUUAAAAGGUAUAUAGUACUAAAAUAAACCUGUCCUAAGCCGAUCGUAUGCUACUACGUACUGCUAUCUAAUAACCUUGUACAAGUAGGGGCUUACGUUCUACCACCUAAGGCUGUAACUUCUCCAUUCAUACUGAUAUUUAUGUACCGAUUCAAAGUAGCUAUUGUUUACUUCUGUAGAUCUGACAAUUGAAGCUAUUCGUCAUUUUACUGCUGGUUAGUAUGAAUAAUUCCUAUUUUAAUUUGAUUCAUAAAAUAUUGGUCAGUUAUGCCGACUAGUGAACUGCUGAGACCCAGCUUGCGGCUAUAGUAUUCAAUAUAUAAAUAAUUAUUAUUAUUGAGAAAUAUUUACUGUUCAUUUUUCUAUAUAAACUGAAGUCUUCGUAUGCAUGUCACAUGUGAUAUGAAAAAACUUAGAUAAAGUUGAUGAUUUUCUUCCGAAACGGUCUAAAUUUCUUCUGAGACAUUUUGUCUGUAAGUAAUUAACGAAGCGUGUGUUACUAAUCUAUUAAGUUACAUUGUAAUUUCAACAAAGUUGUAAUAUCAAAGAGAUUUUGAAGGACAUACGCUCCUAGCAAAUGAGAUUACGUGCCUAUUAUAAAGCUGUUCAUAGGAAGUAAAACACGGCCUUCGCAGAGUUUAUGCUGCAAUCCAUCGGUAACAAACAAUUUUUGAAUUAAGUAAAGACAUAUAAUACAUACAUGCAUAUUUCAUUAUCCAGCUAUAGCCAUUUAUUGCAACUUAGGUAUACGUACGCUAUACCGGGACACUCAAUCCAUAUUGUAAAAAGAGGUUUUCCGUGAAAACGGCAUUAUUCCGUUAGAGCCAGUGUAGGAUCUUUUUUUCGCCUUAAUCUGUUUUUGUUACUCGUCUAUUACAGAUGAUAACCGUGCAAGUUUAUGAAAAUGCGUACACUUAUGUGUUUCAAUUUUUUUUAUUAAAAAAGAAAAAGAAAUACCCCUAAUUUAGGGCCUCAAAGCAAAAAGCAGAUCGUUCGUACAGGUCGCAUCCGAUACCUUGUCUUACCUAGGAUUUAUUUAGCCUCGGAGCCUUGUACAGUAUAGUUGAAAUUUCAAGGUCAUCAGUUUCUCAAUAAUAAAUCUAUUUCACACGAAGUGAAUUUGAAUAUGUUCAAGUCGGCAAAAGGAGUCCUUUAAUUACAGACUCCAAAGGAAAAUUACAUGGUUAUUUUAUGCAAAAGCUAUAGCUGCUUAAAUGUAGGUUUUUCGCAAAAAUCGAUCGACAGGACACCAGUUAAAUUGGAAGAGUCUCAUUUCCUAGCCUGCAAGUUGACUACAUCUUCCUAAGUUUUUGUUCGAAGGUUUGAUACUUUUAGAACUUCAUUCGGACUUUACAUUUUUUGAAAACAGACGCUCAGCGAUUUUUUUUGGGUAUCAAGAGUAUCCUGGAUAAGCUUAAACGACUAGAAUUAAUUAGAGAGUUGUUGGAAAAACACUGCUUGUACCAUAUAGUAAACGAGAAAAUCGGUUAUUAUGUUUGCACCAUAAAGACUUAUAACCAUAAAGCAUUUUUAAAUGUGAUUUUCCUUUUUGAGUCAAAGCUUUUAGC